CCAGUGAGACAGACCACUUCUGUUGCCUGCCUAUCAAGAUGUAGGACUCUCAGCUCCAGCACUAUGUCUGCCUGAAUGCUGCCAUGUCACACCGUAAUGAUAAUGACCUAAAUCUCUCAAAAUCAUAAACCAGAUGGAGACCUGACCUGUGCCAGGCACACUCCAGGCACUGGAAUUCAGCGCUCAACAAAAAAGACAAAGCCUUGACAUGUGAAGUAGAUGGCAGGGUUGUCACUGCUGGAUGGUGGUCACCCUGUGUGACUUCCCUUCUGUAUCUAUGCACUCACAGGACCCAAGUGGAGAGGAGGUAUGUACUUCUGCAGGAUGCUUGACUGAACUUACUUAUGAUCUGCAUGCUGGUCAGGUCGAUGCGGAUCUUCUGGAAACUGGAAAAGCCAGCAGCUGUGUAAUCCUUCCGACAAUGACAGUCAUCCCGCCGGCUCCCGUUAUAGGGACAUUCUGUUGGGUUGUGCAACCUAAGCAAUGGCAACAGCAUUGAGGUAAGAAUGGGAAAUUUUCUCUAGGAGCCUCCAGGCAUCUAAACUCUUCUGGGACUGAGCCUCCUACCUGUGCCCGUAAACUUCGGAGAAAUUCUCUGAGUCACCAUGGGCCAGUGUCACAUACUCCUUGGGAUAGUCGGAAUGCAUUCCUGCACAGAAUACCUGCAAGACACACGAGGAAGAACUCAACAGAGGCAGCCAGAGAGUGCUGAGAGCAGAGAUGACUGUGAAAACAUUCUGGAAACUGACUGACUUCAACACUCACCUUUAGGGGCUUCCCUCUAACAAUCAGGAAAUAUUCACCAUCUGCACUGGCA
Molecule: long non-coding RNA, 817 nt
Organism: Mesocricetus auratus (golden hamster)
Lineage: Eukaryota; Metazoa; Chordata; Mammalia; Rodentia; Cricetidae
Exons: 2
Source: RefSeq, a predicted model, not a curated record